AUUUGCUUCAAACCACAACACAGUGGGGAUCUCAUGAACUUCAAGCCCAGUGAUUAUGAAUGCUUCCAGGAGUUGAUGUCACUAACCAGUGGCUUGACCAUUUCUCACUUAUGCUACAGAAAGUUUGAAUGAAUGCAGCCAUGAUACAGACACAGUUCUCCAGAGAAGCAGGCAGAACACAGUAAUGGCAAACAGUUCUGAGACAGGACAGGAAGAAUGUGGGGAAAAGUAGCUUUAUAAUGCAGCCUGCAGGAUCAGUAAUUUAAGGGGAAUCUCAUUAAAAACUCUGAACAGACAAACAAAGUGGUAAUGUAUUCUUAAUGAGGCAAGGUGAUUUCCUGCUGUGCAAAUGUGCAAAGACCUGUAAAGCUGCAGUUCUCCUUCCACUUGUUGAAGACAAUUGUAAGCACUGUCAAUGCGUCACUGUCCUAUUUACUGGUGAGACUGACCUAGUGAGCUGCAUGGAGGGACACCUCUGCCAACAAAAAGUAGAUUCCCAUUUGGAAGUUCAAAAUGGUGGAAGAUGCUUAUGGCAGAGGAAAAAGGGUAAAGAUGGCAGAUCACACAUGGAUCCUCAGCAAUGUGAGUGCUGUAUUUGA
This 599-nucleotide long non-coding RNA is filed under the name Phasianus colchicus (ring-necked pheasant). RNAcentral describes it as "lncRNA (ENSPCLG00000017983.1)". Lineage: Eukaryota; Metazoa; Chordata; Aves; Galliformes; Phasianidae. The record is from RNAcentral.